GACGAACGCUGGCGGCGUGCCUAAUACAUGCAAGUAGAACGCUGAAGAGAGGAGCUUGCUCUUCUUGGAUGAGCUGCGAACGGGUGAGUAACGCGUAGGUAACCUGCCUGGUAGCGGGGGAUAACUAUUGGAAACGAUAGCUAAUACCGCAUAAAAUUGAUUAUUGCAUGAUAAUUAAUUGAAAGAUGCAACUGCAUCACUACCAGAUGGACCUGCGUUGUAUUAGCUAGUUGGUGAGGUAACGGCUCACCAAGGCGACGAUACAUAGCCGACCUGAGAGGGUGAUCGGCCACACUGGGACUGAGACACGGCCCAGACUCCUACGGGAGGCAGCAGUAGGGAAUCUUCGGCAAUGGGGGGAACCCUGACCGAGCAACGCCGCGUGAGUGAAGAAGGGUUUCGGAUCGUAAAGCUCUGUUGUGAGAGAAGAACGGGUGUGAGAGUGGAAAGUUCACACUGUGACGGUAUCUUACCAGAAAGGGACGGCUAACUACGUG
This 497-nucleotide ribosomal RNA is filed under the name uncultured bacterium. RNAcentral describes it as "partial 16S ribosomal RNA". It matches the Rfam family "Bacterial small subunit ribosomal RNA", at positions 28 to 507 of the family's 1533-position model. The record is from RNAcentral.